Molecule: long non-coding RNA, 604 nt
Filed under: Canis lupus familiaris (dog)
Lineage: Eukaryota; Metazoa; Chordata; Mammalia; Carnivora; Canidae
Description: lncRNA (ENSCAFG00000050245.1)
Source: RNAcentral
UAUUCAGAGUGCUUCUACAAAUAAUAGCUUCAAUUUGAAGAUCAGAGGAGAGACUUUGAAUGAAAGACAAACUCAGGAAAAUAUUUCAAUAUUACUUAUUUCUGUCAAACCAGCCGCCCCAAGAUGGCAGCCAGGAGAUGAUUACACACUGGCAAUGAUGAGCUCUUUCAUAAAUUCUCCUGUGAGACAUGAAGUGAGGCCUCCAGGGUUGGAAAGAUCACUGAGUUUAUGGAUUCACAGAUUGUGAACUGGUGAUACUAUCUUGUCAUACUCUUCUUCCAAAGGAUUUAUACCCCAUUUAAGUGCCUCAUAAUGUCUGAGGCAGCUUUAAAAUUUUAAAUUGAUAUUAAAUAUUAUAUAUACAUUCAUGUGCACGUCAUGUGUACAUAUAUUUGUGUGUUCUGCUGUAUAUGUUUAUUUAGUUAAGUGGUUUCUAACAUAGGCACCACUGAACCCUAGUGAACCAUGGAAUUAGUGUAGGCUUUCCAAAAUAUAUCUGUGUUUGGCUCAUUGCCCAAACACCAAAUUAAUAUCUUUUACAUACACAAUUUUUCAGUAGUAUAGAAAUGCCAUUUGGAUAGCUAAAAUCGGGGAUCCCUGGGUG